This 511-nucleotide ribosomal RNA is filed under the name uncultured fungus. Its description in RNAcentral is "eukaryotic LSU rRNA". The stretch from base 175 to 328 matches the Rfam family "5.8S ribosomal RNA". Lineage: Eukaryota; Fungi. The record is from RNAcentral.
CAUUACAGAGUUCAUGCCCUCCGGGUAGAUCUCCCACCUUCUGUUAUCAUUACUCUCGUUGCUUUGGCGGGCCGCCGGGCCCUGCCCGGCCGCCGGCUCCGGCUGGCGCGUGCCCGCCAGAGGCUCCACAGACUCUGAAUGUUAGUGUCGUCCGAGUAACUAUAUAAUCGUUAAAACUUUCAACAACGGAUCUCUUGGUUCUGGCAUCGAUGAAGAACGCAGCGAAAUGCGAUAAGUAAUGCGAAUUGCAGAAUUCAGUGAGUCAUCGAAUCUUUGAACGCACAUUGCGCCCUGUGGUAUUCCGCAGGGCAUGCCUGUUCGAGCGUCAUUUCAACCCUCAAGCCCGGCUUGGUGUUGGGCCCUGCCCGUGGCGGCUGGCCCUAAAGACAGUGGCGGUGCCGCCUGGCCCUCAGCGUAGUACAACUCUCGCUCCAGGGUCCGGUGGUGGCCUGUCAGAACCCCCAACUCUGUGGUUGACCUCGGAUCAGGUAGGGAUACCCGCUGAACUUAA